UGGGGAAUUUUGGACAAUGGGGGCAACCCUGAUCCAGCGACGCCGCGUGAAGGACGAAGGUCUUCGGAUUGUAAACUUCUUUUAGAGGGGAUGAAUGCCUGCGUGAAUAACGCAGGGUGACAGUACUCUCUGAAUAAGCCACGGCUAACUACGUGCCAGCAGCCGCGGUAAUACGUAGGUGGCAAGCGUUACUCGGAAUCACUAGGCGUAAAGCGCAGGUAGGCGGUUUGGUAAGUCUCUUGUGAAAGCUCCCGGCUCAACUGGGAGAGGUCAAGGGAAACUACCGGACUAGAGUGUGGUAGGGGAUACUGGAAUUCCCGGUGUAGCGGUGAAAUGCGUAGAUAUCGGGAGGAAUACCUAUGGCGAAAGCAGGUAUCUGGGCCAUCACUGACGCUGAGCUGCGAAAGCUAGGGGAGCAAACAGG
This 424-nucleotide ribosomal RNA is filed under the name uncultured bacterium. RNAcentral's name for it is "bacterial SSU rRNA". It matches the Rfam family "Bacterial small subunit ribosomal RNA", at positions 355 to 776 of the family's 1533-position model. The record is from RNAcentral.